RNAcentral lists this transfer RNA (73 nucleotides) under Trichonephila inaurata madagascariensis. It matches the Rfam family "tRNA". Rfam says of the family: Transfer RNA (tRNA) molecules are approximately 80 nucleotides in length. Lineage: Eukaryota; Metazoa; Arthropoda; Arachnida; Araneae; Nephilidae. The record is from Rfam by way of RNAcentral.
GGGGGCGUAGCUCAAAUGGUAGAGCGCUCGCUUAGUAUGAAAGAAGUACGGGGAUCAGUACCCCGUGCCUCCA